AAUAUUUGACAAUGGGUGAGAGCCUGAUCCAGCCAUCCCGCGUGCAGGAAGAAUGCCUUAUGGGUUGUAAACUGCUUUUAUACAGGAAUAAACCACUUUACGUGUAAGGUGUUGAAGGUACUGUAUGAAUAAGCAUCGGCUAACUCCGUGCCAGCAGCCGCGGUAAUCCGGCGGAUGCAAGCGUUAUCCGGAUUUAUUGGGUUUGAAGGGUCGGUAGGCGGGCAGAUAAGGUAGAGGUGAAAUCCGACAGCUUGACUGACGAACUGCCUUUGAAACUGAAUGGCUUGAGUGGGAUUGAAGAAGCUGGAAUGGGUAGUGUAGCGGUGAAAUGCAUUGCUAUUACACAGAACACAGAUAGAGUAGGGAGGUUGCUAAGUCUUUCCUGACGCUGAUGGACGAAAGCGUGGGGAGCAAACA
RNAcentral lists this ribosomal RNA (417 nucleotides) under uncultured bacterium. RNAcentral's name for it is "partial 16S ribosomal RNA". It matches the Rfam family "Bacterial small subunit ribosomal RNA", at positions 360 to 774 of the family's 1533-position model. The record is from RNAcentral.